RNAcentral lists this unclassified non-coding RNA (436 nucleotides) under Rhaphithamnus venustus. Its description in RNAcentral is "partial external transcribed spacer". The record is from RNAcentral. Lineage: Eukaryota; Viridiplantae; Streptophyta; Magnoliopsida; Lamiales; Verbenaceae.
CGCCGCAUGAGCCGAGCAACGAGGCCCGACCAAAACGGGAACGGACGUCGUCCGCAUGAAGCGUAGAACGCUUAGCUUUUCGGGGCAAAUGGAGGUCGAGGACCUCGUACCGCGUCGGUCUUCCGCAUCCGAGAGAUCGAGCAGAGCGUCGUGCGCCACCGACCGAAGCACGCAUUCAUGCGCACGGGUCGUGGAACACGGCGAAUGCUUCGGUGCCCACCCCACACCGCAGCCCCGAAAGGCGCAGCACAAGGAGGAAACGGGACAUUUGGACUAGAGAAUGCCUUCUCGAUAGGUAUACAGCACAGGAAACCGUCAACGGUCAAGGCGAACUCGCAACUUGAGCCGACAAUUGAAGAGGCGCGCAUGGGAUGCCGUCGCUGCCCGAGCAGGGAACCGACACGCCCUUACACGCCAAUCACCACUCACGCGCUCU